GGGUGCGAUCAUACCAGCACUAAUGCAACGGAUUCCAUCAGAACUUUGAAGUUAAACGUGCUUGGGCGUAAUUUAAAUAUGAUGUCCUCGUGUUGCACCCC
RNAcentral lists this ribosomal RNA (101 nucleotides) under Cucumis melo (muskmelon). Lineage: Eukaryota; Viridiplantae; Streptophyta; Magnoliopsida; Cucurbitales; Cucurbitaceae. The record is from RNAcentral. RNAcentral also lists the same sequence under 1 other name.